AAAUUGACACCGUAACUUCGGGAGAAGGUGUGCCGCUGGCGGUUAGUGACUUCGCGUCACGAAGCUGUCGGUGGUCGCAGUGAAAUGGCGGUUGUGACUGUUUACUAAAAACACAGGACUCUGCGAAGUCGUAAGACGACGUAUAGGGUCUGAUGCCUGCCCGGUGCUGGAAGGUUAAGGGGAUAUGUCAGCGCAAGCGAAGCAUUGAACCGAAGCCCCAGUAAACGGCGGCCGUAACUAUAACGGUCCUAAGGUAGCGAAAUUCCUUGUCGGGUAAGUUCCGACCUGCACGAGGGCAUAACAACAUCCGCACUGUCUCGACCAGGGACUCAGCGAAAUUACAUUGGGGGUGAAGAUGCCCUCUACCCGCGGAAAGACGGAAAGACCCCAUGAACCUUUACUGCAACUUGGCAGUGAUUUUCGGGUUGUUCUGCGUAGGAUAGGUGGGAGGCUUUGAAGCCGGGCUUCCGGGUUCGGCAGAGCCAACGUUGAAAUACCACCCUGAAUAAUCUGGAAAUCUAACCUGCGCCCAUGAUCUGGGCGAGGGACACUGCCUGGUGGGCAGUUUGACUGGGGCGGUCGCCUCCUAAAUUGUAACGGAGGCGUGCGACGGUUCCCUCAGGCUGAUUGGAAACCAGCCGUAGAGUGCAAACGCAUAAGGGAGCUUUACUGCGAGACUGACAAGUCGAACAGUUGCGAAAGCAGGUGUUAGUGAUCCGGUGGUACCACAUGGAAGGGCCAUCGCUCAUCGGAUAAAAGGUACUCUGGGGAUAACAGGCUGAUCGCGCCUGAGAGUUCACAUCGGCGGCGCGGUUUGGCACCUCGAUGUCGGCUCAUCGCAUCCUGGGGCUGGAGCAGGUCCCAAGGGUUUGGCUGUUCGCCAAUUAAAGCGGUAUACGAGCUGGGUUUAAAACGUCGUGAGACAGUUUGGUCCCUAUCUUCCGUGGGCGCAGGACACUUGAGAGGAGCUAUCCAUAGUACGAGAGGACCUGGAUGGACGAACCUCUGGUGCUCCGCUUGUCACGCCAGUGGCAUAGCCGGGUAGCCAUGUUCGGAACAGAUAACCGCUGAAGGCAUAUAAGCGGGAAGCUGGCCUCAAGACUAGGUGUCCCUGACGCAAGUCACUAAAGGCCCCUCGAAGACUACGAGGUUGAUAGGCUCGGUGUGGAAGCGCUGCGAGGCGUGGAGCUAACGAGUACUAAUAGGCCGUGCGACUUGACCUC
This 1223-nucleotide ribosomal RNA is filed under the name metagenome. RNAcentral's name for it is "bacterial LSU rRNA". It matches the Rfam family "Bacterial large subunit ribosomal RNA", at positions 1719 to 2925 of the family's 2925-position model. The record is from RNAcentral.